Molecule: ribosomal RNA, 119 nt
Filed under: Podarcis muralis (Common wall lizard)
Lineage: Eukaryota; Metazoa; Chordata; Lepidosauria; Squamata; Lacertidae
Source: RNAcentral
CACGAUUGGUUUACUACCCUGAACACACCUGAUCUCUUCUGAUCUCGGAAGCUAAUCAGGGUCAGGCCUGGUUGAUACUUGGAUGGGAGACCGCCUGGGAAUACCAGGUGCUGUAGGCU